GACGAACGCUGGCGGCGUGCUUAACACAUGCAAGUCGAACGAUGAAGCCGGAGCUUGCUCUGGUGAAUUAGUGGCGAACGGGUGAGUAACACGUGAGUAACCUGCCCUUGACUCUGGGAUAACUGCUAGAAAUGGUAGCUAAUACCGGAUACGACCCUCGGAGGCAUCUCCAGGGGGUGGAAAGAAUUUCGGUCAAGGAUGGACUCGCGGCCUAUCAGCUAGUUGGUGAGGUAACGGCUCACCAAGGCGACGACGGGUAGCCGGCCUGAGAGGGUGCCCGGCCACACUGGGACUGAGACACGGCCCAGACUCCUACGGGAGGCAGCAGUGGGGAAUAUUGCACAAUGGGCGCAAGCCUGAUGCAGCAACGCCGCGUGAGGGAUGACGGCCUUCGGGUUGUAAACCUCUUUUAGCAGGGAAGAAGCGAAAGUGACGGUACCUGCAGAAAAAGCACCGGCUAACUACGUGCCAGCCGCCGCGGUAA
Molecule: ribosomal RNA, 484 nt
Filed under: uncultured bacterium
Lineage: Bacteria
Description: partial 16S ribosomal RNA
Rfam family: Bacterial small subunit ribosomal RNA
Source: RNAcentral